UACGGAGGGGGCUAGCGUUGUUCGGAAUUACUGGGCGCAAAGCGCACGUAGGCGGCUUUGCAAGUCAGAGGUGAAAGCCCAGGGCUCAACCCUGGAAUUGCCUUUGAGACUGCAUCGCUAGAAUUGUGGAGAGGUUAGUGGAAUUCCGAGUGUAGAGGUGAAAUUCGUAGAUAUUCGGAAGAACACCAGUGGCGAAGGCGACUUACUGGACACAUAUUGACGCUGAGGUGCGAAAGCGUGGGGAGCAAACAGG
RNAcentral lists this ribosomal RNA (253 nucleotides) under uncultured bacterium. Its description in RNAcentral is "partial 16S ribosomal RNA". It matches the Rfam family "Bacterial small subunit ribosomal RNA", at positions 524 to 776 of the family's 1533-position model. The record is from RNAcentral.